GCUGGGUACACAUAUACUGUAUUUCUGAAUACUGGUAAACUUCGAUGCAAGAUAUACUUAGAAACCUUACAGUCAAGAACAAAGUUGUAGGCAUACGUAUUUAAUAGCUGAAAAACAGCAGGUACCCGAACUCAGUAUAGCAAUAAUUCAAAAUAUCAUUGCCAACAGAUCUGGAGAAAUUGCCAUUGCGUCUUUAGAAUGUCUUCGUCAGACGAGAGAUGCAGUUCCGACUCUGAUUGCUGGUUGCUGUACGUAUCUAUCCACAUAAACGGUCUUGAGAGAGAAUCGUGAAGACACCUCGAAAAGUCAUGCGCGCCGUUUUUUGGGACAGAAAAGGCAUUUUGGUGAUUGAUUUCUUACCACGAGGCCAAACAAUCAAUGCACAUCGUUACUGCAUACCAUUAAGAAAUUGCACUGCACAAUACAGAACAGGCCCUGAGGAUUACUGUCAGAAGUUGUUUUUUUCCAUGAUAAUGCUUGACCUCAAACGGCGAAUGACCAAACGACUCUUAGAGGAAUUUCACUGGGACAUGUUUGACCAUCCUCAGUACAGCCUGGACCUCGCUCCUAGCGACUUUCAUCUCUUCUUACACCUAAAAUCUGUCCUUGGUGGUCAACACUUCAACGCUGAUGGCGAGCUGAAAAAAUAUGUUAGCUAUGUAGAAAUGUAGUUUAACAGCUGUAGAUUUUUGUACAAUAAAUAUUUUUUCUGUAUCUGUA
Schistocerca gregaria is the source of this 720-nucleotide long non-coding RNA. RefSeq lists it as uncharacterized. The record is from RefSeq and is a predicted model, not a curated record. The transcript has 3 exons. Lineage: Eukaryota; Metazoa; Arthropoda; Insecta; Orthoptera; Acrididae.